GAGAGUUUGAUUCUGGCUCAGAGCGAACGCUGGCGGCAGGCUUAACACAUGCAAGUCGAACGGGCACCUUCGGGUGUCAGUGGCAGACGGGUGAGUAACACGUGGGAACGUACCCUUCGGUUCGGAAUAACUCAGGGAAACUUGAGCUAAUACCGGAUACGCCCUUUUGGGGAAAGGUUUACUGCCGAAGGAUCGGCCCGCGUCUGAUUAGCUUGUUGGUGGGGUAACGGCCUACCAAGGCGACGAUCAGUAGCUGGUCUGAGAGGAUGAUCAGCCACACUGGGACUGAGACACGGCCCAGACUCCUACGGGAGGCAGCAGUGGGGAAUAUUGGACAAUGGGCGCAAGCCUGAUCCAGCCAUGCCGCGUGAGUGAUGAAGGCCUUAGGGUUGUAAAGCUCUUUUGUCCGGGACGAUAAUGACGGUACCGGAAGAAUAAGCCCCGGCUAACUUCGUGCCAGCAGCCGCGGUAAUACGAA
This 478-nucleotide ribosomal RNA is filed under the name furfural-degrading bacterium A1. RNAcentral's name for it is "bacterial SSU rRNA". It matches the Rfam family "Bacterial small subunit ribosomal RNA", at positions 7 to 529 of the family's 1533-position model. The record is from RNAcentral.